This 30-nucleotide non-coding RNA is filed under the name Rattus norvegicus (Norway rat). Lineage: Eukaryota; Metazoa; Chordata; Mammalia; Rodentia; Muridae. The record is from RNAcentral.
UUCUAGUUUGCCAACGCUGAGCACCUUGCU